UAGGGAAUCUUCCACAAUGGACGCAAGUCUGAUGGAGCAACGCCGCGUGAGUGAAGAAGGUUUUCGGAUCGUAAAGCUCUGUUGUUGGUGAAGAAGGAUAGAGGUAGUAACUGGCCUUUAUUUGACGGUAAUCAACCAGAAAGUCACGGCUAACUACGUGCCAGCAGCCGCGGUAAUACGUAGGUGGCAAGCGUUGUCCGGAUUUAUUGGGCGUAAAGCGAGCGCAGGCGGAAGAAUAAGUCUGAUGUGAAAGCCCUCGGCUUAACCGAGGAACUGCAUCGGAAACUGUUUUUCUUGAGUGGAGAAGAGGAGAGUGGAAUUCCAUGUGUAGCGGUGGAAUGCGUAGAUAUAUGGAAGAACACCAGUGGCGAAGGCGACUCUCUGGUCAGCAACUGACGCGGAGGCUCGAAAGCAUGGGUAGCGAACAGG
This 429-nucleotide ribosomal RNA is filed under the name bacterium. Its description in RNAcentral is "partial 16S ribosomal RNA". It matches the Rfam family "Bacterial small subunit ribosomal RNA", at positions 355 to 776 of the family's 1533-position model. The record is from RNAcentral.